CUGUUCACAGUGGCUUCUGCAAUGUCUGGCACAUAGUAUGUAUGAAGUAGAAAUCAAGUGAAGUAAUCAAUAGAAUUUUGACUAAGCUGUUUCAAUACCAAAACUUGCAAGACUGUUGGUUAGUCAUGAGGUCACAAAGGAUUGGACACAACGGGGCAUGCAUGCAGAUGGGUGUUAUCAAGAUACUGAUUCCUUUGGACACUAAGGCCUCUGGAGAAGGUCUGAGAAUAUAAACACAACUGAAGGAAGAGGAACAAAGAUGGCGACAUUCGUUUUUACAUGACAUUGCGAAGGAUCUAG
RNAcentral lists this long non-coding RNA (300 nucleotides) under Capra hircus (goat). RNAcentral's name for it is "lncRNA (ENSCHIG00000001228.1)". The record is from RNAcentral. Lineage: Eukaryota; Metazoa; Chordata; Mammalia; Artiodactyla; Bovidae.